CCUACGUGUGGCAGCAGUGGGGAAUAUUGCACAAUGGGGGAAACCCUGAUGCAGCGACGCCGCGUGAGUGAAGAAGUAUUUCGGUAUGUAAAGCUCUAUCAGCAGGGAAGAAAAUGACGGUACCUGACUAAGAAGCCCCGGCUAACUACGUGCCAGCAGCCGCGGUAAUACGUAGGGGGCAAGCGUUAUCCGGAUUUACUGGGUGUAAAGGGAGCGUAGACGGCCAGACAAGUCAGAAGUGAAAGCCCCGGGCUCAACCCUGGGACUGCUUUUGAAACUGCCGGGCUGGAGUGCAGGAGAGGUAAGCGGAAUUCCUAGUGUAGCGGUGAAAUGCGUAGAUAUUAGGAGGAACACCAGUGGCGAAGGCGGCUUACUGGACUGUAACUGACGUUGAGGCUCGAAAGCGUGGGGAGCAAACAGGAUUAGAUACCCUAGUAGUC
This 440-nucleotide ribosomal RNA is filed under the name uncultured bacterium. Its description in RNAcentral is "partial 16S ribosomal RNA". It matches the Rfam family "Bacterial small subunit ribosomal RNA", at positions 338 to 795 of the family's 1533-position model. The record is from RNAcentral.